AGGUCUCUGCGGUUGCAGCGGGGCCUCCUGGCAAGAGCCCUGCGGGCCAGGCUGAAGACUCGCUCCAGCGUUUUCUCUGCGGCCAAAAGCGCGCCCGUGAUACAUUGGCCAUACAUGUCCAUCGAAGUAUCCAGGGUUGCUGGUUUUAGCCUGUGGAAUAAAAUAUUUCUGGCAGGAACAAGGAGGGGGAAGUUAACAUGGGAAAACUCUGCCAGAGAUCUACUAGAUCCUAAUCCUGUUCUUCCCCGCAUAUCUUGCUGUAGUACUGCUCCCAUUAACCAUGAAUUUCUGGGAGGUCAUAGCAGCAUCAAGACUCAUGAUAAAUGAACUUCUUAUUGCAUCAAAAUUUGUCUGCUAAACUUCAAAGCUAUAUAUUUUAUUUCCACCACAUGUUAACCACAAGUAUCAAGCCUGCUGUCUUACAAGGUUCUAAUAAUAUUUGGACAGACUGAGCUAUAGAAUUUCCAUUGCAGUUCAUGCAUCUGUGAACAAAUAUUUUUCAUUACUGUGAUUGAUCGUAAACAGUGUAAAAUCUGUAUUAAAUGAUCCUCCCUAUCA
This is a non-coding RNA of Podarcis muralis (Common wall lizard), 558 nucleotides long. NCBI's taxonomy places the organism in Eukaryota, Metazoa, Chordata, Lepidosauria, Squamata, Lacertidae. The record is from RefSeq and is a predicted model, not a curated record.